CCUACGGGUGGCAGCAGUCGAGAAUCAUUCACAAUGGGGGAAACCCUGAUGGUGCGACGCCGCGUGGGGGAAUGAAGGUCUUCGGAUUGUAAACCCCUGUCAUGUGGGAGCAAAUUAAAAAGAUAGUACCACAAGAGGAAGAGACGGCUAACUCUGUGCCAGCAGCCGCGGUAAUACAGAGAUCUCAAGCGUUGUUCGGAAUCACUGGGCGUAAAGCGUGCGUAGGCUGUUUCGUAAGUCGUGUGUGAAAGGCGCGGGCUCAACCCGCGGACGGCACAUGAUACUGCGAGACUAGAGUAAGGGAGGGGGAACCGGAAUUCUCGGUGUAGCAGUGAAAUGCGUAGAUAUCGAGAGGAACACUCGUGGCGAAGGCGGGUUCCUGGACAUUAACUGACGCUGAGGCACGAAGGCCAGGGGAGCGAAAGGGAUUAGAUACCCCAGUAGUC
Molecule: ribosomal RNA, 446 nt
Filed under: uncultured bacterium
Lineage: Bacteria
Description: partial 16S ribosomal RNA
Rfam family: Bacterial small subunit ribosomal RNA
Source: RNAcentral